Long non-coding RNA from Canis lupus familiaris (dog), 3400 nucleotides. RefSeq lists it as uncharacterized. Lineage: Eukaryota; Metazoa; Chordata; Mammalia; Carnivora; Canidae. The transcript is spliced from 2 exons. The record is from RefSeq and is a predicted model, not a curated record.
GUUAUAUGGGGCUUCGCCUCCUGCUCACGCGGGACCUGGACAGACAGCUCCUGGCCCCUUGGAUGUGGCUGUGCCCUCUGCCUGCCUUUGUCACUUGUGGGAGGAUGAACCAAGGUGGCAUUCCUGCCUUGGAGUGGCUGUCACCGCAGGCGAUCCCCUUCUCCGUCCUCUGCACGCAUGGCAACGGGCCUGGCAUCCUGGAAGAUGCUGAGGCCGUUCAGAAGCUCCACUGUCCAUAAGUCCUGCAGCUCUGCAGUGGGGCAGCCAGAUGCCUGGCCAGAAAUACCACUGAUACAGCGUAGGGACCGGAGCCCCACAGUCUGGGGACACAGGACUGACUGAGGUACCAUCCACCUGCCUCUGUCUAAGCAGACAUCUUCUCCUGCGGCUAUUUUACCUGGGACUCUUCAAGCCAUCUGGAAAAACUCCAAUGGUGGGGUGACACUUUCCAGAGGCCUGGCAUCUAGCCCCCACUCACCUGCCCAGUUAUCUCUGCCACUUUGCCCUUCACUCCCUCUGGACCGGAUGCACAGAGCUCCCAGCAUCUCCAGGCAGCCCCUCCCUCUCUCUCACUUUGGAGCUCAUCACUCCACCUGGCACACGUGGCAGGGGCUCUAUACACCCUCCCCGAGUUGAUGGAUGACCCGUCCAGCAGCAUGGAGGAAGCGGGACUAUGCCCCAGAACAGAUCUGCCCCCUACUUCUCUGCCCUUAGGGGGAGCCUGCCAGAUGGCCUCUCACCCUCAUAGCGUUUCUUUCUUAAGCCUCAGACCCUUCCCCGCCUCCUAGUAUUGGAUGCCUGAGCCUCAACCGGGUGCCUCCAACGGCCUCCGGAGCCCCAGCUACCUUAGGCAGCCUUAAUUAAUUGUAAAAUUGAUGAAGCGGCCCCCUUUGUUAGGCUGGGCUGGUGUUUAUUUGUAUUUUCAUAUUAUUAUCCUUUUAUACUUCUCUGGGCGCCUUCCGCUCUCUACUGACACCUUUUAUUGGGGAAAUGUUAAUUUAAAAAUCAUCUAUAAUGCAGGUGUCACAAAUCAAAGCUGUUCGGUAAUGAGUUGCUCUUAUGUCGUAUAAAAACAAUUAAUUAAAACCCUUUCUGAGAGAGCCGUGCCGGCAGAUUUAUGUUUCCCAGUGUCUCCCCUCGACCUUCCUUUUUAAGGACCCUCGUGCACUCAUCUGCCUUCUGUGGGAGGAUGGUUUCCUCCUACCUCUGCCCAGGAAAUAGAGUCCUAGCCCGGUGGAGUGGGGACGGUGCCAGGAAGGCAUCUGGGCUUGCCUCUGUGGCGUAGAGCGCCGAGAGGGACUUUGCUCUGGUCACAUAGCAAUCGAGUGGCAGUGCCAGGCUCAGAACAGCCUCUGCUGCCCAGGUCCUGUCCUUGUCAUGACUGCUGGUGCCUCUCCUGCCGUCCUCCCGACGAUGUGCAAGCACAUGCCCUGCUGUUAUGCCGACGCUGGGCUAGGAAAUAGCACUCGUUUCCCCACUGACAGGCACGCUCAUGUCACAGACGCUUUUCCCUCCUUGCUAACCGGCUCAGCACUUACUUAGGGAGUGUAACCUAAGGCAUCUAAACUCUGGUUUGGCCUCUGCUCUUGAUUCAUGGUGUGUAACCCAGCGUGAGCCGCCUCUCUGGUUGGGCCCCACCCCGCUUCUCUGCAACAUGGGUACAUUGAUUUAGAUGGGGAGCUGCAAAUUGAAAGCCCUCCUGGUACCAUUAACACAUUGGGCAGGUCUGGUGGGAACAGUGGAGACUGGCCAGGAGCAUGUCCCUUCUGAAGGGGACAGCCUCUGUCACCUCUGGAUGUUCACGGUCACCUGGGAGAGCAGGCCCCAUGUUGCCCUUUCCAGGACAAGCUGGACGCCCAGCUCAAGGGUUUGUAAUGUUGGCAAGGGGGUUGGCCCUUGGGUUAAUUUGCUCUCAGAGCCCCUUCUUGCCCUGCCGCUGUUUUGCUCUGUGUCUUAGGGGGGGCUCUCCCCUUAAGGGUCCUGGCUUGGGUGCCUUGAUUUGUCAGAGGUGCGGGUUCUGGAUGUUGACAGGAAGGUGAGUGGCUGGGAGGCAGGGCUAAGCCUGGUGUUUCCCUUAUCUCCCUGCCUUGGGUAUCAUCUCUGGCGAGGCCCGUGUCUCUGGCACCAGUCGGAGUUCCAGGCCGGCCGGGUCACUGAGGCCUCUGGGCUCUGGUGAUACCUCCUGCCUUUGUCCCCAGGGGGCUUGUUGCUGUUGCUAAUCUCUGCGUAGCCUUGCUGAUAUGUCAUGUCCUGUGUUUCUAUUAAAUUGCCUCUGCUUUAAAUACCUGGAGGGUUUUAUAGGUUCUUGGUUGGACUCUGACUGAUACAGUUAAUAUUAUGAUUAUGAUUAUUAUUAUUACUUAACACAGUGACGGCUUGUCUGUGGGCUGGGUGGAGUGUGGAGAGCACCGGUGUGUGACUGGUUUGGGUAAGCUGAAUUUCAGGGUUGUGACUUGGUUCAGAAUGGACCUGGGAAAUCUGAUACUAUCAGCCCUUGUAUUUUAGGAACCUUUACUCUUCAGAGCAAACAUGUUCUCCAGGGCAUCUGGAUUCUGGUCCAUCUGCCUCCACUAAAAGCUGGCCUCUUGCUCUUCACACUGGGGCCUCUUCUGGCCCUGCCCGGCCCAGCCCCUGGUCGGUACGCCCUCCUGGCAACAAGCUGGCAUUGCUGCCCGACGGCCUGAGAGAAGGCCUGGGUGGGCUCCAAGCAGGCACGUGACUUUGCCUGCACCCUUACACCUGCCUUCAACACCCAGGCCCACGGUGCGAGAGUGCAGGUCAGGACCAGAGCCCGGGGCUCCUUCCCUGGGCGGCCACCCGUACGUCCCGCUUGGUGCCAGAUGCUGGAGAUGUCGCCACUGGGAAGACCCAGACUCACCACUGGGGAGCUGGGCACUGGUCCAGCGGGCAUGGAGCGUCCUGCGGGUCAAGGGGGAGUGAACUGAGCAGAGGAGCCCCGGGAGGGAGAGCUAUGGGGCUCCGCAGCUUAGCUCCUGACUUCUGGGUUGUCCCACCUCAGUAUGGAAGAUGCUCCCUUUCCGCCUGACAUCGUGUGAUUUGGGGACAGUCCGACUCGGAAUGAAAGAGGCCAGCCCUGUGGCUGGCUGCCCCCUGCCCCUGGUGGUGGCGCCCGUCCCGCCAGCCCUCCUGCCCUCGCAGCUUCGGGACGGCUCCCUCCUGGUGAUCUCAUCCUCCCCUCUGAGUGGGGCUGUGAAGUGUCUCAUCCAGGCUUUUAUCUGGCACAUCCACAAUUAUAAUGUCAAGAUUGAAUAAUCUGCCUUUAUCUCCCGGGUGACAGCCAUGUAGAAACUUCAAAAGAAACAGUUUUGCUGGCAUCUAACGGCUUUUGUUAAUUACUAUAUCCCAAAGAAAAUGAAAUAAAGGAGGAAGAAAAAUGAUA